UUUAUUUAUGUUCUGUUAUUUAUUUUCAUAUAUGAGUGGUUGGUUUGACUCUGUCCUAUGUUAUUGGUUUUUUUAAGUAUUUACAUGUAAAGUUUUUGUUUAUCAUUGUUUGCAGUGGUUAAUUUUGAAUAUUAAGUUAGUUUAGAUUUGGAUAUUAUUAUUAUAUAUUUUAUGAUUUUGUGCCAGCAUAUGCGGUUAUACAAUUAAUGUUAAUCAAUAUUUUUUGGUUUAAAUGAAGUUUUUUUUUUUUUGAUUUAAAUUUUUAAAUUUUUGGUGAAAUUUUUAUUUUUAGUUAUUUCUUUUAAGGAUUCUUUUGAAGUUUAAUUUAUUAGACUAGGAUUAGAUACCCUAUUAUUUUAAUUGUUAAUUUUUUACCAGGGUAGUAUUAGUUAUUUUCUUCAAACCUAAAGAGUUUGGCGGUGUUUUAGUCCUUUCAGAGGAACUUGUUCCUUAAUCGAUAGUCCUCGUUUUAUCUUACUUUAUUUUGUUUAGUAUGUAUAUCGCCGUUAUGAGAUUAUUUUAUUAGGAUUAAUUUUCUUUAUUCAUUAUUUUGUUUUAUUUCAGGUCAAGGUGCAGUUUAUAAUUAAGUGGAAAUGAGUUACAAUUUUAUUUUGAGAAUACGGAUUUUAUUUUUAAAAUUUUUAUAAAGGUGGAUUUGAUAGUAAUUUUGAUUAUAAGGUUAUUUUGAUUUUGGCCCUAAAAUAAGUACAUAUUGCCCGUCAUUCUCAUUAUUGAGACAAGUCGUAACAUAGUGGCCGUACUGGAAGGUGUGGCUAGGAUUUU
This 783-nucleotide non-coding RNA is filed under the name Pulchriphyllium bioculatum. The record is from RNAcentral. Lineage: Eukaryota; Metazoa; Arthropoda; Insecta; Phasmatodea; Phylliidae.